GAUGAAGAACGCAGCGAAAUGCGAUAAGUAAUGUGAAUUGCAGAAUUCAGUGAAUCAUCGAAUCUUUGAACGCAUAUUGCGCUCUUUGGUAUUCCGAAGAGCAUGCUUGUUUGAGUAUCAGUAAACACCUCAAAGACUUCAAUUUGUUUUGAAUGGCUUUGGACUUGAGCAAUCCCAACACCAGUCUUUACGAUCGGUGGAGGGUUGCUUGAAAUGCAGGUGCAGCUGGACAUUCUCCUGAGCUAAAAGCAUAUUUAUUUAGUCCCGUCAAACGGAUUAUUACUUUUGCUGCAGCUAACAUAAAGGGAGUUUGACCGUAUUGGCUGACUGAUGCAGGAUUUCACAAGGGUCGGCAACGAUUCUUGUAAAACUCGAUCUCAAAUCAAGUAAGACUACCCGCUGAACUUAAGCAUAUCAAUAAGCGGAGGA
Molecule: unclassified non-coding RNA, 429 nt
Filed under: soil metagenome
Description: partial contains 5.8S ribosomal RNA, internal transcribed spacer 2, and large subunit ribosomal RNA
Rfam family: 5.8S ribosomal RNA (bases 1-120)
Source: RNAcentral